AUUUUCUUUCAUUAUGAAGCAGUUUUGCAGGUACAGCUUUGAGUUCAGUCUCUCCAUUGCCUUUAGAAUAUUGAGACCUGCCUGAAUACACCCAAAAAGAGAGAUGAUGUUACAUUAGUUUAAUGUUAGAUAGCUCUAAAUAAAAUAUUACAUUCAGAUGGAGACAAUGUUGCAAUGCCAUGUUGUGGAAAAGCAACAUUUUUUAAUAUUAGACAGUGAUAAUGAUAACGUUUCCAGAAUAUCUGCAACAUAGAAGCUUACAGGACAGAACUAAAAGCUAAGCAAACACAUAAAAUAAGCAGAAAUGCCUUGACUUUUCAACUAUAGUAACAUGCAAAGUUAUCCAUAUGGAACAUGGAAAGAUGAAAAGAAAACAACACAAAACAAAACUGAUGGGUAAACAGUCUAUGUCCAUUUACCAGAAAAAAGUUGGCCAAGAAUUGAGAUGAUGAAACAGAGCUGCUGUGAUGAACAAGUGGCAAUGGUGAAUGUGGAGCUUGGUUUGAUAAUAUAGAGAGGAAAGUUGUAUGGGGGUCGUCUAGAAAACAAAAGGUAAUGAGAAUGUCUGCAGAUAAGGAAUAACAGGUUGUCCAAAUCUAGAAGGUCUCUUUGGGUUUCCCAAACAUGAAAGCAAAGGAUAAAAGACUAGUAAGAAUGACUCAAACGACACAGUGAAGUAGUGGUCAGUGUCUGAAGUCUGAACCAAAAACAAAGAUGGUUCCCUUCACCUUGAAUGAAUGACCGACCAUUGAUGAAAUGUCAAAGGGAUGUGGAGAGAAAGACAAGCAGCUAGACGUUGAAACCAAUGAGGACAAAGAGAUAAAACAGAACACAUUAGAAAACUAACAGAAAGAAAGCAGAACAUUCCUUCCUCAAACUGAGGUGAAAGUAACAGACAAGUCAAAGAUGAAAAAAAAAACCAGCAAUGUGAGCUGAAACUAAACCAUACGUUUAACUUUCUUUCUUUGUGUAACAAGCAAGGAGAGAAUGUAGAAGUAGAAGUAGAAGGAGAGACAAAAGCAGAGAAAGGUGGGGUCUUUAUUGUCCUUCUUUCUCUCUUUAUGUUUUCAAAAAAGAUCACCUUUUUCAAGCAAGUGAGUUAGAGAAGAAGGCUGAGAGGUAGUUCCCCUGGCUUCUUUUGCUGCUGCUGCUGCUGUUGGUAAACGAGAACAAGUAGCAGUAUUGCAGUAAGUUAGCUUCUUUGCUGCUGCUGCUGCUGCUGCUGUUGGUAAACGAGAACAAGUAGCAGUAUUGCAGUAAGUUAGCGUGGAAAGAAAAGAAGUGAAGGGACAAAGAGAACAAACGAGGGGAGUGGGUUAUUAUAUAGAGAGAGGGCCAAAAAGCUGGAAAGGAAGAAGCUUUCUGAAUUUUGAGAGGCUUUGGCCGUAUGGGUUUGGAAGAAGAAGAAGAGGGGACAUGCUUCUCUUCCCUGACACAACAAUCAUGCAUUUUCUUUUCUGUAAGCAAGGGAAGGCGGCCGGCUAAACUUAAUGCCAGCCAAAAGAAAACUGUAAAAUUCAAUGUUAAAACUUUUUAAUUCAAUAUUUUCUUCUGAAUGAUGGUGAUGAUGAAGGAAAGGGGGGUAUGAGGUCAUGUGAAUGAUGAUGGGUAUGGAAGAGGGGCAUUUUGGUCACAUUAGCUGCCAUUAUUGACAUUUAGAGGGACAAUUAUGAGGAGUUUUGGCCUCUCUGCGUAAAAAAAAUAAAAUGAUGGGGGGGUGGGCUAAAGGGGCCGUCCCCCAAAGAUUCGCAAUGAUGGUCUGGAUUGGUUCGAACGUCGAACCAUCAUCACCACACACAAUUACACACUUGCUUCAACCCCUUCCUCUUCACCAUCUUCUUAUUGUGAUUAUGAUGACUACAAUUUUGGACCCUUUGGCCUUCCCACUUUCCCCUAUUAUUUCUUGGUUUGGUAACUGUUGGCUUGUAAUUAUGAUUUCUUCUUUUUGCCGUAAUAAGUUAUAUUUUUAACUAUUUUGAAGGGUACCAAAAGGCACUGUAGCUCACUCACUACUAGAGGAGAGGUACGUCAAUAUCCUCAAUGCAUUAUUGGGUUUCUCCUCUAAAUACAACUUCAAUGUGGUUUAAUGCUGAAUGUUAUUAGUUUUGAUGUCGGAAUCUAUCAUAUUGGAACUUAGGAUUCUUAUUCCAAUGUCGGUGGUUUUACAUAAUUUGUGCACUACUUGAGUUGAGUCUAGCUACAAACACGAGUCUCGUUCUGUCACAUGCAUGCUUUCUAUACGUAGAUGGUGGCCAUACCAUAGUUAAUGCCCUUCAGCAGCAGCUUUCUAAAUCAUGAUAUGGCGUUUUGUUUUGAAGUUAUUAGUAGCAACAAUCAUAAUAACUUGGUAAUAAUAAGCCAUGGCAUCAUAAGUUAAAACAGCUAGCAUUUUGAAACAAGUGGGGAGGAGAUGCAGAUGAUGAAUUACUAAAGAGGGGGGGCCUCAACGUGAAACAUCAUGGCUUUCCCUCCUACGCCAGACUGUGCCUUGUAAUUUUUUGCACGGUGCUCUGUUUUUUUUCCUAAAAAAUCCUCAAGAGAAAAAGGGCAAAUUCGUCAUUUAAAAUUUAUAGGGUACCCCCUCGUGGAGCUCGUUCACACAAACUGGGAAGUGACGAAUUGCUAUGAAUUUGAAAAUGCAGGGAGAGGGGAUUUUUGAUGAGGUGUUGUUUGUUUAUUAACAUUAAUUAACAUUCUUUUUUGUAGAUUUUUGUUUUCUUGUAUGUAUAUGUUUCUCUGUGUGCAGGAAAAAGUAAAACCAAACAGACAUAUUAACUGCUGAGAUGAUGAUUGCUUCUGCAAACACUAUCAUAAAUACGAAAAAUAGUGGGUUGAGCUUUCCUCAUUUUAUGCCUAGCUGAGCUGCUAAUUGAGUCUCUUGAAUGGACUCGAGACAGCUAAGCUAUAUGGAGCUUGCUUUCCUUUUUCUAACUUUUCGUUGUGGUUUGAAAUGGGUUUUGUGUUAGUGAUUUAAAUAUUGAUUAAGAAACACUAAUAUAAUUAGUUUGUCACCAUCUUAGUUAAUUAAAAGCUUUUAGGGUGGGAAUGUUUGCAACAAAAGGGACAUAGGAUGGACCAUCUAAUGUGGGUUCUGCAUGCUCUUUCUUUGUCUACUUCUUAUUCUUUUUUGUAGGCACUUUCAACACUAUUUAGCUAGAUGACUAAUCAAGCUCCCUAAGUCCAAUGAGCAUGGUGAAUAAUCACAAUGCCUACAAGAGGAUGAUGUAAGAGCACUUGGUCCGGACAAGCGUGCGCUUCAGACGUCUUUUCCUGAUACAAGGUAUCGCGUGAGAGAUACCAAAAAUAGCGCACCAACUUCCUGUUGCAUGCCACUUCCGGUACGAUUCUACUAUAGGUAACUCUCGUUUGUGGAGAAUAUGUGAUACGAUAUUACCACAAAUCAUUCCACCAAUUGUUUCCUCUAAAUUUUUGUAUUCAUUUGCACACAUGAUGUGGGAUACUCAGAUUUGUCUCAUAGAUUAGGGUGAACAAUGACACCCAUAAAAGUAAAACUAGAAAGUAGUUUUGAAGGGGCGGUUGGUCCCAAGGUGACAAGGAAGUUUAAGUAAUUGAGAGUUUCCCAGUUUUGUUUCUUUCACGAGUAGUUUGUUUCUAGUUCCAGACAGGUUAGUAUUUGCAAUGAGUAUUUUGCCAUUUUUACAAUUUAUAUUUAUAUAUAUGCAUAAUGAUCAUCAAUUAUGGCUGUGCUAUUUCACCC
This 3718-nucleotide long non-coding RNA is filed under the name Linum usitatissimum (flax). RNAcentral's name for it is "long non-coding RNA (LUSI_LNC005184)". Lineage: Eukaryota; Viridiplantae; Streptophyta; Magnoliopsida; Malpighiales; Linaceae. The record is from RNAcentral.